Long non-coding RNA from Saccostrea echinata, 527 nucleotides. RefSeq lists it as uncharacterized. The record is from RefSeq and is a predicted model, not a curated record. NCBI's taxonomy places the organism in Eukaryota, Metazoa, Mollusca, Bivalvia, Ostreida, Ostreidae. The transcript is spliced from 4 exons.
AUGAUAACAACUUUCAUUCAUUUUGUGCUCCAUAUUUUCAUCAUGCCCCUUCUGAUGGUCAACCUCGACAAACCACCUUUAACAUGAUUCUACAAGAAAUAUCAUACUCAAAUUCUGAAGUUAUGGAUAAAUAUGGUUGGAGUUUUCUUUUUCCUUGCUGCGUUUGCAUACAUGCUGUCGUUUGAUUACAGCGAAGAAACAGUUUCAAGUUCUGAGUUAGCUAUACUUUUCUGGGUAGCUUGUAAAUUUGUUGACGAAUUAGAACAGGUUAUUGUGGCCAUUAAAAGAAGGAAAAAGAUACCUGACGCAGUAAAAAUGUAUUUGGCAGAUACGUGGAACCAUUUGGAUUGGCUAAUCAUUAUUAGUUGUACGUUAGGUGCCAUCUUGAAAUUGUUUGACGAUGACUUGAUGGAGGGUGCUGCAAAAUUGCUGUACAUAUAGGCUUACGUUACGAUAAAUAUUCGAAUUCUCAAUAUGUUUUGGACAUCUGAAUUUCUCGGAACUCAACUAGUUAUCAUCCAGAAAAU